ACGUCACUGGAGAACUGCGGGGAUUUUACGAUUCCAAAGAGCCACUUCUCCUGUUUCGCCGCGACCGUUGGGUUUUCUCGUGACUCGUUUGCACGCUUUUUUCCCUCCUCGCUCUUCUCACUCACCAUCGCAAUCUUGCUUCUCCCUCGUCGCUUUGUCGCGACACGUAUACGCGACCGGAAAGCGAGACACAUAAACUGAUGACGCGCAGACGAACCAUCGAUCGUGGUUAGACACAACGAGCCGAAACGAUUUUUGCGUGCUGUCACAUUCUGUUUUAUUCAUCGGAAAGCUGAUGACCUUGAAAGCAAUGGACGCCCAGGGAAAGUCCGUGGUUCCCAGCGAAUCGAAGAGCAACUCACAGGCAAGCAGCGACCGAAGAAGGUCGGCCAAGUGAUUACCAGAAGCCACGAAGACGAGUUUGAAACCGGUUCAUGGAAGAACGAAUGAAGAUAGAAGAGUGGCGAAAACAUGAGACUAGAUAAGUCGUGUGUACGACCGAUGAAAGAAAUUCAGGUAAAAUUUCAUUGGCAAACCGCAACUAUCCUUGAUACGAACUUUUCCUUGCCGAAUUAUCGAUUUAUUUGUCAUUUUUACCUUCUUCCUGUUAUGUCAUUUCAUUUUAUUUUAUUUUAUUUGUAAUUCUUAAAUCAAAUUCUUCAAAUUUAUAUUCUUUACUAUUUCUAGACUCUAGUAAACAUCGUUUAUCCUUGCAUAGUCGUAUUUUGGAAAUUUGUAUUUUAUUGAUAUCGUUGCAUUUUGAAAAUUGUUGCUCUAUUAGCAUCGUUAUAUUUUAUCUAUAGAUUAGAAGUUGUUAAUUGUCCAUUUUCAUGAGCAAUUAGAAAGAUAAUAAUUUUGUAAAAU
Long non-coding RNA from Bombus impatiens (common eastern bumble bee), 864 nucleotides. RefSeq lists it as uncharacterized. Lineage: Eukaryota; Metazoa; Arthropoda; Insecta; Hymenoptera; Apidae. The record is from RefSeq and is a predicted model, not a curated record. The transcript is spliced from 2 exons.